GCCUUCGUGGUGUAGUGGUCAGCACGCUCGACGCGUAUUCGAGAGGUCCGUGGUUCGAGUCCAGACGAGGGCA
Molecule: transfer RNA, 73 nt
Filed under: Stegodyphus mimosarum
Lineage: Eukaryota; Metazoa; Arthropoda; Arachnida; Araneae; Eresidae
Description: tRNA-Thr for anticodon CGU
Rfam family: tRNA
About the family: Transfer RNA (tRNA) molecules are approximately 80 nucleotides in length. Their secondary structure includes four short double-helical elements and three loops (D, anti-codon, and T loops).
Source: Rfam by way of RNAcentral